Long non-coding RNA from Ananas comosus (pineapple), 372 nucleotides. RefSeq lists it as uncharacterized. The transcript has 2 exons. NCBI's taxonomy places the organism in Eukaryota, Viridiplantae, Streptophyta, Magnoliopsida, Poales, Bromeliaceae. The record is from RefSeq and is a predicted model, not a curated record.
UGAUUAUCCUUUUCUUUCUUUUUUCCUUUUUUUUGGUUUUUUUAUGGCUAUUAUCAUACUGUUUAUUGAACAAAUUUAUUAUUCUUUUUUUUUAUGAUUUAUGCUAUUGACGAUCCUUUCUUGACUUCGCUCAACAAGUGUUCGACAAAAUGUCACAGUAAGGUUGAGACUAAUACGAGGCGCAAACAUACUUCCACAGGAUGCAUCUUCAGGAGAUUGGAAUGGAGAAGUGAAAACAUCUUUUUUCUAAUUUUCUCAGUAUCAUUUAAUAAUCAUCAUAUUUAGGCACUCAUGUAUUAUGGAUAUUGAACUGUAGUUUGAUAUAAUAUUUUAGAUAUUGAAUGAAUUAAAGAGUGUGAUUUUCUGUAUUAA